Molecule: long non-coding RNA, 1445 nt
Organism: Tachysurus fulvidraco (yellow catfish)
Lineage: Eukaryota; Metazoa; Chordata; Actinopteri; Siluriformes; Bagridae
Exons: 6
Source: RefSeq, a predicted model, not a curated record
AGGUGGAGGCGGGAAUCGAACCCCCAACCCUGGAGGUGUGAGGCAAACGUGCUAACCACUAAGCCACCGUGCAACCCCCCCGGACAUAAUUUCAAAUGAAAACUAAAUGGAGAACAGUGACAAUACUACAAGACAGGACAGAACAUCAUCUCAGUAUUGUUGGCUUAGUCAUAUUCUGCCUAACCUUUUACAGGACGAGUUAAACAUAUUAGCGGCAGAAUAAGCAACGGUUCAGGGACAGCGCGCCGGUCGAUCCAGAAGGACACCCAGGACAGCAUGACCAUCAGAGUAGCAGGAAAGUAGGUCUGCAGCAGGAAGAAGAAAAUGUGACGUCUCAGGGUGAAGUUGAUGUACAGACGGUUGUACCAACCUGGAGAACAGACAGAAAGUCAGUGUAAAUGUAAACUGGAAACGGUUCUGAUUCUUAAUUUGCAUGACAGAACCGGAGACGAGCUGUAGGAAGCGUGUGUGAGCUCGGUUACGACCGUGCCCUGAUUCCUGUGAACACGGAGGCAACUCGGACUCGUGGCAGUGGCAGGAAAACCACACACUGAGCUGUGUGACACACUACUGUACCUGUGCUGCUGUAGAAGGCCAGUUUAGAGGUAGUGUGAAACUCCUGAAUGAGGAACUGAGAGAGUGAGAUCUUGUCAUCUGUCUUCAGAGAGUCGUUCCCUUUCUUCCAGUAGAGCAUCAGGUCAUCGUCCGUGUACGCGUCUGUAAAGGAGCAGGAAUGGUUCAGAACUGAAAAGCACUUUGCCGUCCGGAUACACCCUGAGCAUGACGUUGUCCGUCGUAGUGUCGUGGAUGAAGGAGCGUUUGGAGUGAACGAAGAACAUGUCAGGAACCCAGAUCUUCUUCAGUAACCGGCUGUCGAAAGUCAUGCUCUGGUUGGUCUUGCCUGAGAAGGACAGGCGCUCAUCUUUCCAAUAGUGCCUCAGGCCGCAUUGUGAAAUCGUGGUCAUCUAUACGGAGGACGUGCUCCGAUUUCGGCACCGAGCCCUUGGUGAUGUCGGGGCUCCUUUUCAGGACGAGACUUCAACCAGGAUCAAAGCACAAAUAAGUAGAAAGCAUCACAGCACAAACGGUACAUUAAACUCCUUCUCAUUUAAAACUUUACAAUGCUGUUGAGUUUUUAAAAAAAAAGGUUUCGGCUUCUUUUUUUUAAUCUGGUUUGAAUUGACGAAAGGAAAUUUACACCAUUUGGUAAAGUAACUGCUGUAAAACUAUAAAACAUAAGAGAUCACCUUCCAGAUUUGUGUAAUUGUCCUUCCGGUCUUGUAGCAUCUCUCCGGGAUCUACAACAAAGUAAAAACGACAGUAAUAUUGUCUGGUUUUUCCUUGUUUUGUUUUGGCUACGUAUGUGAAAGACUUUAAAGGCAGGGUCUUCGUUGUUUGAAAGCCAAUGUCGACAUUUGAAAUCACCAAAACAAACACACCCCUAA